Molecule: long non-coding RNA, 282 nt
Organism: Coregonus clupeaformis (lake whitefish)
Lineage: Eukaryota; Metazoa; Chordata; Actinopteri; Salmoniformes; Salmonidae
Exons: 3
Source: RefSeq, a predicted model, not a curated record
GUGGAACUGGAGAUGAUCCGUACAGAGUUCAUACGAUCGAGAUCCGAUACCUGACCCUCUGCUGUGGCCUGGACCUGGGCUCAGGAAUCAGACGAAUGAUGAGAAAAAUUUGAACAGAGGAGCUGUGGACAGGCUACUCCUUGAAGGGCAGGAAGGGGAAGAGGGCCUUUAAUGAGCUAUCAAUCUAUGAUGUGAUGCUGUCACAAGAGCGUCCCUGAAAGCACACCCCAAGGCUACCUACCAAGAGGUAGAUGACAAAAUAGCAGACGCUCUCAAACAUGC